This 451-nucleotide unclassified non-coding RNA is filed under the name Hevea brasiliensis (rubber tree). Lineage: Eukaryota; Viridiplantae; Streptophyta; Magnoliopsida; Malpighiales; Euphorbiaceae. The record is from RNAcentral.
GAAGUAAAUUAAAUUUCCUAGUAACUUUACCUUUUCCCCUUAAUACAAAGUAUAGGCAACAAUAAUACCUUGCCUGUGAGAAAAUGUUAUUAUUAGGCAUAUAUGGUAGGAGGAGUAUAUUUUAGUUUAAUGAUAAUGGCGUAAGCUUUCUUCAACUUUGUUUAGAAAGAAACAAGUCUCACCCACAAUGCCUAGUGUUUAAUGGAAAGGAAAGUAACAAAAUAACAUUCACCACCUCUAACCUACAAGGAUAUCUUAAACUUUGGACUCUCUAAUGCCUUCCACACAGUUCAAGCUCGAAAUAUCAAACAACUCUAUAAACCUUUGAUCUGAUACUCUAGCUUUUGCUGCAGCGAACCUCUGGUACUCAUCAAAUAUUGAAGACAGGCACCUUCUUUGCAAUUUUUUCAAGCACCCCACAAGGUUAAUGAUAGAACAGAGACCAAGGGAU